UGGGGAAUAUUGCACAAUGGAGGGAACUCUGAUGCAGCGACGCCGCGUGAACGAAGAAGGCUUUCGAGUCGUAAAGUUCUUUUAUAUGGGAAGAUAAUGACGGUACCAUAAGAAAAAGCCCCGGCUAACUACGUGCCAGCAGCCGCGGUAAUACGUAGGGGGCUAGCGUUGUCCGGAAUCACUGGGCGUAAAGGAUUCGCAGGCGGAAAUGCAAGUCAGGUGUAAAAGGCAGUAGCUUAACUACUGUAAGCAUUUGAAACUGCAUAUCUUGAGAAGAGUAGAGGUAAGUGGAAUUUUUAGUGUAGCGGUGAAAUGCGUAGAUAUUAAAAAGAAUACCGGUGGCGAAGGCGACUUACUGGGCUCAUUCUGACGCUGAGGAACGAAAGCGUGGGUAGCAAACAGG
This 403-nucleotide ribosomal RNA is filed under the name Fusobacteriota bacterium. RNAcentral describes it as "Fusobacteria bacterium partial 16S ribosomal RNA". It matches the Rfam family "Bacterial small subunit ribosomal RNA", at positions 355 to 776 of the family's 1533-position model. The record is from RNAcentral. Lineage: Bacteria; Fusobacteriati; Fusobacteriota.